UGCAUUUUGACCUAGUCACUCGAGUCUAGAUCAGGGUCUGAAUAUCCUAUAUCAGAUUUCCUCCGAUCGUCAUUCUCUAAGGACUGAGGUUGGACUUAGCUAUCUCAGGUGGCAUUUUGAGUUGAUCCAAGUAGUCAAUAUUAGUCAAAUGUAAUUGCUUUAACAAGAAACCUGUGACAAGGUUUAAAAAGAAAAUUUUAUUAAUGUAACCAAAAGGUGCCAGACUCACCAAUGAUACACUUUUAUUGGAGAAAGAAAUGGAGUUCCCUGCAUGUCAUACCUCUGCCCUCCUGGUCGACCUUCCACCCCUUGUCACCUGUGAGUCCAAAGAUCGCAUUGAUGAGACUGGCUAUGGGUCAAUUGUUGUUGUUCUAAUCAUCGGGCGAAUGCUAAGGCAGCUCUUCAGAUGCUCGGAUCUAUCACCUUCAGACAUACUUUUUAAGAUAGCCUCUCAGGAUCAGGACUUUAAUCUCAUCCUUGAGCUGGAGAUAUUUCUGUGUCAUGACCAUGGUCAUGGUGGAAGAAGCAGUAUUUCUCCUUGCUCCUCC
Molecule: long non-coding RNA, 548 nt
Filed under: Elaeis guineensis (African oil palm)
Lineage: Eukaryota; Viridiplantae; Streptophyta; Magnoliopsida; Arecales; Arecaceae
Description: long non-coding RNA (EGUI_LNC056844)
Source: RNAcentral